CAAUAGCGUAUAUUAAAGCUGUUGCGGUUAAAAAGCUCGUAGUUGGAUUUCUGUCAAGGACAACUGGUCCGCCCUCCGGGUGAGCACAUAGUUUGGUCUUGGCAUCUUGCUGGAAACUGUUGCUGCACUUGGUUGUGUGGCGCAGCAUCCAGCACUUUCACUUUGAGGAAAUUGGAGUGUUUCAAGCAGGCACAUGCCUUUGGACACAGUAGCAUGGAAUAAUUAGAUUGGGCUUUUGCUCCAAUUUGUCGGUUUCUGGAGCUGAGGUGAGAAUUAAUGGGGAUUGUUGGGGGCAUCCGAAUUUAGCCGUCAGAGGUGAAAUUCUUGGAUCUGCUAAAGACGGACAACUGCGAAGGCGUUUGCCCAGGAUGUUUUCAUUGA
RNAcentral lists this ribosomal RNA (381 nucleotides) under uncultured eukaryote. Its description in RNAcentral is "partial 18S ribosomal RNA". It matches the Rfam family "Eukaryotic small subunit ribosomal RNA", at positions 592 to 976 of the family's 1831-position model. The record is from RNAcentral.